This 1067-nucleotide ribosomal RNA is filed under the name Cephalodiscus hodgsoni. RNAcentral's name for it is "16S ribosomal RNA". The stretch from base 763 to 992 matches the Rfam family "Archaeal large subunit ribosomal RNA", at positions 1790 to 2109 of the family's 2987-position model. The record is from RNAcentral. Lineage: Eukaryota; Metazoa; Hemichordata; Pterobranchia; Cephalodiscida; Cephalodiscidae.
UAUAAUUAAUGGGGUGAAUUAAAGUGUCUUGAUUUAUUUGUUUUGGUUUGAUUUUGUUUAUUUAUAGUAAAUUAUUUAUUUUGAGGUGAAAUUUAAUUAGUGGGUUAUAUUAGUAAAGAUGAGUGAAGGUAAAUUGUUAAAACGAUAGAGAAUAAGUAUCUGUGAGAGGUUGUAGGGUUAGGGGUAGAGAAGGUCUUAUAAUAUAGGUUACCUUUUGUAUUAUGGAUUGUCAAUUUUAUUAUAGUGGUGUUAUUAUUUCCCGAAUUUAGGUGAUCUAGUCUUGGGUUCUAGUUUAGUUAGAGUUUUGUUGGUGUGGUAAAACCAUAAAUUGAUUCAGGAUUAGGGGUGAAAUGUUAAUCGAACUUAAAAAUAUCUGGUUGGGGGGGAAUUAAAUUAAGUUUAGGUAACAGUUGUAAUUUAUAAAUUUUUAUUGUUUUUUAUACCAAAAGGGUAAGCUUUUUGGUAUUUAUAGAAAUAGCUGUUUAAAAUAAUUAUGGGCUUUUGGUUUAGGUUAAUAGGUUUAAGUGGGAUUAAUGGUGUUAAGCUUGGAAUAGUGUUAUUACAUUUGUUGUUGGUGAGUUGGGUCUGAGGUUUUUGGGUGGUACUUCUCGGUUUUAUUAAGUCAUAAGGGUGAUAUGAGUAAUUUUAGGUUUUCUGGUCUGGUUUUUAGUCGUUGUUUAUGGUUGAUUUUUGGGAUUUUAUUUAAUGAUAAAGGGUGUUUUUUAGGAUGUUUAUGGGAGUGGGCUUAGGAAGGUAGUUUAAAUUAAUAUAGGAAGAAGGAAUUCGGCAAAAUUUAGUUCCCGCCUGUUUACUAAAAACAUGUCUUUUUGCUAGUGGUUAGUUCCAUGGGUAGAGAAGGUUUGCUCCUGCCCGGUGCUUUAUGUAAACGGCAGCGGUAUACCUGACCGUUCAAAGGUAGCAUAGUAAUGUGGCUUUUUAUUGAAGUCUGGUAUGAAAGGGUUGACGAGGUUCUAGCUGUCUUCUUUUUAUUUGUUGAAAUUAACUUAGAUUGUGAAAAGGCUUUGGUUUUUUUUAGGGACGAUAAGCCCCUGUGAACUUUGUUGGUU